UACGGAGGGUGCGAGCGUUGUCCGGAAUCAUUGGGCGUAAAGGGCGCGUAGGUGGCUUCUCAAGCGUGCGGUGAAAGCCUGGGGCUCAACCCCGGGUCGGCCGUGCGAACUGGGGGGCUUGAGCACUGUAGAGGCAGGCGGAAUUCCGGGUGUAGCGGUGGAAUGCGUAGAGAUCCGGAAGAACACCGGUGGCGAAGGCGGCUCACUGGCCCGGAACUGACGCUGAGGUGCGAAAGCGUGGGGAGCAAACAGG
RNAcentral lists this ribosomal RNA (253 nucleotides) under uncultured bacterium. Its description in RNAcentral is "partial 16S ribosomal RNA". It matches the Rfam family "Bacterial small subunit ribosomal RNA", at positions 524 to 776 of the family's 1533-position model. The record is from RNAcentral.